This 450-nucleotide ribosomal RNA is filed under the name uncultured bacterium. RNAcentral's name for it is "partial 16S ribosomal RNA". It matches the Rfam family "Bacterial small subunit ribosomal RNA", at positions 354 to 796 of the family's 1533-position model. The record is from RNAcentral.
GUGGGGAAUAUUGGACAAUGGGGGGAACCCUGAUCCAGCCAUGCCGCGUGUGUGAAGAAGGCCUUCGGGUUGUAAACUGCUUUUGUACGGAACGAAACGGUCCUGGUUAAUACCUGGGGCUAAUGACGGUACCGUAAGAAUAAGCACCGGCUAACUACGUGCCAGCAGCCGCGGUAAUACGUAGGGUGCGAGCGUUAAUCGGAAUUACUGGGCGUAAAGCGUGCGCAGGCGGUGCUGUAAGACAGGCGUGAAAUCCCCGGGCUCAACCUGGGAAUUGCGCUUGUGACUGCAAGGCUGGAGUGCGGCAGAGGGGGAUGGAAUUCCGCGUGUAGCAGUGAAAUGCGUAGAUAUGCGGAGGAACACCGAUGGCGAAGGCAAUCCCCUGGGCCUGCACUGACGCUCAUGCACGAAAGCGUGGGGAGCAAACAGGAUUAGAUACCCGGGUAGUCC